RNAcentral lists this ribosomal RNA (519 nucleotides) under uncultured eukaryote. Its description in RNAcentral is "SSU rRNA". It matches the Rfam family "Eukaryotic small subunit ribosomal RNA", at positions 1161 to 1699 of the family's 1831-position model. The record is from RNAcentral.
AGGGCACCACCAGGAGUGGAGCCUGCGGCUUAAUUUGACUCAACACGGGGAAACUUACCCGGCCUGGACGCUGGAAGGAUUGACAGAUUGAGAGCUCUUUCUUGAUUCAGUGGGUGGUGGUGCAUGGCCGUUCUUAGUUGGUGGAGCGAUUUGUCUGGUUAAUUCCGAUAACGAACGAGACUCUAGCCUAUUAAAUAGGCUCCCGGCUUUUAAACGCCGGGAGGACUUCUUAGAGGGACAGGUGGCGGUUCAGCCGCACGAAAGAGAGCAAUAACAGGUCUGUGAUGCCCUUUGUUGUCCGGGGCCGCACGCGCGCUACACUGAAGAGAUCAGCGUGCUUUAUGUUCCUGCUCCGACCGGAGUGGGGAACCCAGCGAACCUUCUUCGUGAUUGGGAUAGAAGAUUGUAAUUAUUCUUCUUGAACGAGGAAUUCCCAGUAAAUGCGAGUCAUAAGCUCGCGUUGAUUACGUCCCUGCCCUUUGUACACACCGCCCGUCGCUACUACCGAUUGAACGAUUU